Molecule: ribosomal RNA, 254 nt
Filed under: uncultured bacterium
Lineage: Bacteria
Description: partial 16S ribosomal RNA
Rfam family: Bacterial small subunit ribosomal RNA
Source: RNAcentral
UACGAAGGGGGCUAGCGUUGUUCGGAUUUACUGGGCGUAAAGCGCACGUAGGCGGUUUGUUAAGUGAGAGGUGAAAUCCCAGAGCUCAACUCUGGAACUGCCUUUCAUACUGGCAAGCUAGAGUCCGGAAGAGGUAAGUGGAACUCCUAGUGUAGAGGUGGAAUUCGUAGAUAUUAGGAAGAACACCAGUGGCGAAGGCGGCUUACUGGUCCGGAACCUGACGCUGAGGUGCGAAAGCGUGGGGAGCAAACAGG